CCACGCAGCCGGGGAGAUAGCGGUGCCCUGUACCUGCAAUCCGCUACAGCAGGGGUGAUACCAAUCCGAGGGUUUUUAGCUGCAAAGCUGCCUUCUAUAAGUGGUGAUGACGUUUGGGUCUCGUGCAACAGAAAUCUGUGAACCGUGUCAGGGCAGGAAUGCAGCAGCACUAAGCAGAACCUUUUGUGUGACGCGAGGGUGCCUGGAUUGAGCUAACUGUAGGAGUAACGUUUGUGGCGGAAGUUCAAAGUGCGGUGCGUGG
Non-coding RNA from Firmicutes bacterium CAG:56, 262 nucleotides. It matches the Rfam family "Bacterial large signal recognition particle RNA". Rfam says of the family: The signal recognition particle (SRP) is a universally conserved ribonucleoprotein involved in the co-translational targeting of proteins to membranes. Archaeal SRP consists of a 7S RNA and homologues of the eukaryotic SRP19 and SRP54 proteins. In most bacteria, the SRP consists of a 4.5S RNA and the Ffh protein (a homologue of the eukaryotic SRP54 protein). NCBI's taxonomy places the organism in Bacteria, Bacillati, Bacillota. The record is from Rfam.